GACGAACGCUGGCGGCGUGCUUAACACAUGCAAGUCGAGCGGUAAGGCCCUUUCGGGGGUACGACGAGCGGCGAACGGGUGGAGUAACACGUGGGUGACCUCGCCCUCCAGCUCUGGGAGUAAGCCUGGGAAACGUAGGGUCUAAUACUGGAUAUGACUCCACGGUGCAUGUCGUGGGGUGGAAAGCCUUGUGCGGCUGAGGAUGGGCCC
RNAcentral lists this ribosomal RNA (210 nucleotides) under uncultured bacterium. Its description in RNAcentral is "partial 16S ribosomal RNA". It matches the Rfam family "Bacterial small subunit ribosomal RNA", at positions 28 to 232 of the family's 1533-position model. The record is from RNAcentral.